ACUUCCUUGGCAGAAUAGUGCGUUAAAUUUAGGAUUUAAAAUAUGUAAUUAGUUUAUGGGUAGUA
Molecule: transfer RNA, 65 nt
Filed under: Andrena fulva
Lineage: Eukaryota; Metazoa; Arthropoda; Insecta; Hymenoptera; Andrenidae
Description: tRNA-Leu
Source: RNAcentral